AUUUGAGGAAAGGAACGGUCACCAUCUUGAAGAAAGCCCUUGGAUACAAUGCCAGCAAUGUUUAGGGUGCAACUAUAGGCCCCUGUUCUGGGGCCCAUUGCAUUCUAUUAAAAAGAAAUCAAAGAGAAAUAAAAAAGAAGGCAAAAAGAAUUUGAGAGAGCGUCUCUCCACUGCACCGCACACCUGAAUGCAGUGUCGCUUUCCCCCUGCAGUUCAGAGUCCUUGAAAGAGGAACAACUUCAUCUGACUCGUUCAUUAAAUAAUCUGGAGUGCCUCCUGUGUCCAUGGCAGCUGUUAGAUUCAGAAAUUAAUGGUUUAUUUUGCAUAUUAAAUAGUGUAAAAGCUUUGUGUUUCUAGGAAGAGGAAAUAAGGGAGAGUCGUUGACCCUGGCCAGGGUGUGUGUGUGUGUGUGUGUGUGUGUGUGUAAGUAAAGGUUUGGGCACCCCUGAUGAUUUUCAUGAUUUUCCUUUAUAAAUCAUUGGUUGUUUGGAUCAGCAGUUUCAGAUAUCAUACAGUA
Molecule: long non-coding RNA, 517 nt
Organism: Thalassophryne amazonica
Lineage: Eukaryota; Metazoa; Chordata; Actinopteri; Batrachoidiformes; Batrachoididae
Exons: 4
Source: RefSeq, a predicted model, not a curated record